Non-coding RNA from Rhopilema esculentum, 2310 nucleotides. NCBI's taxonomy places the organism in Eukaryota, Metazoa, Cnidaria, Scyphozoa, Rhizostomeae, Rhizostomatidae. The record is from RefSeq and is a predicted model, not a curated record.
CAACUGGAUAAAAGCAUGAUAAAUUGUCGCAAAGAUCAUUUUCCAGCCAGGUGCAUUUUAGAGCACACGGUUGGAAAGAAAGGUUUGGAAAAAGAAGUCGACAUGUUUCUCACAACGGACCCUUGAUUUUGGACGCAAUUUUCAGUGACAGUGUCGAGAACACGAUUUGAAUACCUUUCCCAAAUUGAAUAUUCAUCAGGACAUUCCCGUGGCAGAUUGACCAAAGUAUUGUAAAAGAUAUUCUCAUCCAGCUUCAUCACACGGACAUUCCCGUGGCAGAUUGACCAAAGUAUUGUAAACAUAUUCUCACCCAGCUUCAUCACACGGGCAUUUGCGAGACGUUUUGAGACGACGAUUUGAAUGAAAGACAUUUCUUCUUUGGCCUUUGUUUCGUUAUAAUUUGAUUGAUUUAGAGGAUCUUUGUAUGUUUAUUAUAAAGUUGAAGGAUAAUUCAAGAUUUUGCAUCCUGCUCUCAAAUAGUUUCAGCGAUUGAUAGGACCCCUAUUUCAUAGAUUUUCAUACCCUACUUCCAAUUGGUUUUUUUACGAGGAUGUUUAUGAAACACACGGUUCUCUCAUUGUACUUUCACAGAGUUUGCCCCCUAUGCGUUAUAAACAUCUAUUAGAUUUUGCUUUAAAUGUGCUAUUUAACUUUGGAGGAUCCUCAACUCUAGCCAUUUAUUGUUACCAAUCUUGCAAUUGGUUUUUUACGAGGAUGUUGGUGAAAUACACGCCUCCCUCAUUGUGAUAUAUUUGAGGGUUUGCCUCAUAUAUUUUGAAAACAUCAGAUUUUAGAUUUUGCUUUAGUUAUGGAUUUUGUUUUGAAAAUUCUCCACUCUAGGGUUGGCUCACCAAUAGUAACUAUUAAUUGUUGUUGUUUUCAAAAUUAGCAAACAUUUUGAAAAUUAUUAUGAUGAUGAAGUAAAUAUUUGUUUUUCUGCUAGAAAUCUGCCAUUGAACACAAGUUAGGAUAGUCGAUAAUCAGUCAAGUUUUAUAGCAUGAUAAAAAGUCCUCAAAAAUGAAACAUUAGUGGAAGUGCUCAAAAAUGAAACAUUUGUGGAACUAUAUAUAUUCUCUUUCGGCAAUAUUUUAGACACAGGUAUUAAGUAAAAUUCAUAUAAAGAUUAAUUUAUUUUCAAAUUUGGUCGAGGGUGAAGAGGAAAUAGAUAAAUGACUUUGCUGGAUGCCUCUUCGUGAAAAUAUCGAAAUUUGAGCUUCUCCAUAUAAAAUGGAGGUCGGGGGCAACCAAAAAACAAGUCUAUUGCUUUACCAAAUUUGAAGGCCUCAUCCAUUGGUAUUAAAAUGUCAAAACGAGGCGGAAACGCCCGAGCUGAUAUUAACACACCACCUAGCAACAAUGAAAUCACGUGAUUUGAAUCAGAAAGGAAGAUUCUGUUAAAAGUAGCUAGAUAUAUGUGAACUGUACCAAAAAUAGCGUUAACAUGAUUUUCAUCUCGAAAAAUCAUCUUACCUAUAGACAAUUAAUUGACAAGGUCUUAGUAGUACAUUUAAGACGAAUGGAUGAUAGACCUACUUAUAAUGCGUACAGUAACAAGGUUCCCACAUUAAACGCAAUAAUUAGGCUAGGCUGACCAGCGUCGCAAUUCAAGAUGCCUGGGUAUUGUCAGAAAUUGUAGUAUGAAAGAACCAUUUCCACAACAUCAAACCUACUGUGCACGUGAAGAACGUUGAAGCUACCAAUAAACAUCGUUUAAUUGCCUAAAAAUAAACUACAGAAUGUUUGGAGCACACGGAAACAGCAAAGUCACACCUUUGAUAAUCUACUGAGUUAUUGAUUUAGACUUUAACUGCUCUCUCGCGCUUUUCCUUCACCAAUUUAGCAACCACCUUUUUUCUAAUAACAAAUUAUGUAAAAAAUCCUUCCCUAAUAAUGCAAUUUUUCAAUAAUGUCCUUUCGCCUCACAAUACAUAUAUACUGCUGUCUUCUGAGACCCAUUUCAAGUUUCUCUCAAAAUGGCAAACGAGCAGGCCCCAAUGGUGACUGCUCAAUCUCAUUCGAUUUAGUCCAUGUUCCAUAAAAAAUAUGUCAUAAGUUCCCACACUUUAUCUAAAUAGACUACAAUCCACUGAAAAGUUUCUACUGAAUGUUAUUGUAAAUAGACUACAAUCCUCCAUAAAGUGUUUACUUAAUGCUAUUGAUAUUUAUUAUUAUGGAAUGGAAGUAAACUAGCCUUUCUUGGCGACCCCGCCAAAGCGGGGUCUUGCAAGGCCCACCUGGCCUGAGUUUCCAUUCUUGACGACCCCGCCAAAGCGGGGUCUGGGUGGCCCGCCGGCCCGCGACAGCCCGAG